This 619-nucleotide ribosomal RNA is filed under the name Flavobacterium sp. RNAcentral describes it as "bacterial SSU rRNA". It matches the Rfam family "Bacterial small subunit ribosomal RNA", at positions 30 to 652 of the family's 1533-position model. The record is from RNAcentral. Lineage: Bacteria; Pseudomonadati; Bacteroidota; Flavobacteriia; Flavobacteriales; Flavobacteriaceae.
UGAACGCUAGCGGCAGGCUUAACACAUGCAAGUCGAGGGGUAGAGUAGCAAUACUUGAGACCGGCGCACGGGUGCGUAACGCGUAUGCAAUCUACCUUUUACAGAGGGAUAGCCCAGAGAAAUUUGGAUUAAUACCUCAUAGUAUUGUGAAGUGGCAUCACUUUAUAAUUAAAGUCACAACGGUAAAAGAUGAGCAUGCGUCCCAUUAGCUAGUUGGUAAGGUAACGGCUUACCAAGGCUACGAUGGGUAGGGGUCCUGAGAGGGAGAUCCCCCACACUGGUACUGAGACACGGACCAGACUCCUACGGGAGGCAGCAGUGAGGAAUAUUGGACAAUGGGCGCAAGCCUGAUCCAGCCAUGCCGCGUGCAGGAUGACGGUCCUAUGGAUUGUAAACUGCUUUUAUACGAGAAGAAACACUACUUCGUGAAGUAGCUUGACGGUAUCGUAAGAAUAAGGAUCGGCUAACUCCGUGCCAGCAGCCGCGGUAAUACGGAGGAUCCAAGCGUUAUCCGGAAUCAUUGGGUUUAAAGGGUCCGUAGGCGGUUUAGUAAGUCAGUGGUGAAAGCCCAUCGCUCAACGGUGGAACGGCCAUUGAUACUGCUGAACUUGAAUUAUUA